CCUGUUUAUUAAAAACAUGGCUUAUGGUUAAUAAUUUUAGGUUUAACCUGCCCAAUGAAUUUUAAAUGGCUGCGGUAUUUUGACCGUACAAAGGUAGCAUAAUCAUUAGUUUUUUAAUUGAAAGCUGGAAUGAAGGGUUGGAUGAAAAGAUUUCUGUCUCUAUUUAAAUUUUUUAAAAUUUUAUUUUUAAGUUAAAAAGCUUAAAUUUUUAUUGAAGACGAGAAGACCCUAUAGAGUUUUAUAAUUUUAAAAUUAUAUUUGAAUUUUAGGAAUUUAUGAGUUAAUAUAAAAAUUAUUUUGUUGGGGUGAUAGAAAAAUUUAAAAAACUUUUUAGAGUCAAAUCAUUGAUUUGUGGGUUUUUGAUCCUUAUUAAAGAUUAGAAGAUAAAAUUACCUUAGGGAUAACAGCGUAAUUUUUUAUAGAGUUCUUAUUGAAUAAAAAGUUUGCGACCUCGAUGUUGGAUUAAAAAAAAUUAUUGGUGUAGAAGCUAAUAAAUUGAGUCUGUUCGACUUUUAAAAUUUUACAUGAUCUGAGUUUAAACCGGUGUGAGCCAGGUCGGUUUCUAUCU
This 568-nucleotide ribosomal RNA is filed under the name Alatidotasia sp. 1 MB-2015. Its description in RNAcentral is "partial 16S ribosomal RNA". It matches the Rfam family "Bacterial large subunit ribosomal RNA", at positions 1799 to 2643 of the family's 2925-position model. The record is from RNAcentral. Lineage: Eukaryota; Metazoa; Arthropoda; Insecta; Coleoptera; Curculionidae.